GCCCGGAUGGCGGAAUUGGCAGACGCGCUAGCUUCAGGAGCUAGUGGCCGCAAGGUCGUACAGGUUCAAGUCCUGCUCCGGGCACAA
This 87-nucleotide transfer RNA is filed under the name Chlorobiaceae bacterium. RNAcentral describes it as "tRNA-Leu". It matches the Rfam family "tRNA". Rfam says of the family: Transfer RNA (tRNA) molecules are approximately 80 nucleotides in length. Lineage: Bacteria; Pseudomonadati; Chlorobiota; Chlorobiia; Chlorobiales; Chlorobiaceae. The record is from RNAcentral.